AUAGAACCAUGAGAUCUGGAAUGACUCAUGGNUUCAAAGUUCCGGCGCUUUAGGAUCGGUCUGCGGCCUAUCAGGUAGUAGUGGGUGUAAUGUACCCCCUAGCCUAUUACGGGUAUGGGCCUUGAGAGAGGGAGCCCAGAGUUGGAUUCUGAGACACGAAUCCAGGCCCUACGGGGCGCAGCAGUCGCGAAAACUUCACAAUGGGCGAAAGCCCGAUGAGGGAAUUCCUAGUGCUAGCACUUUUGUGUUAGCUUUUCUUUAGCGUAGAUAACUAGAGGAAUAAGGGCUGGGUAAGACGGGUGCCAGCCGCCGCGGUAAUACCCGCAGCCCGAGUGGUGGUCGAUUUUAUUGAGUCUAAAACGUUCGUAGCCGGUCUGAUAGAUCCUUGGGUAAAUCGGGGGGCUUAACCUUCCGAAUUCCGAGGAGACCGUCAGGCUUGGGAUCGGGAGAGGUAAGAGGUACUUCAGGGGUAGGGGUAAAAUCCUGUAAUCCUUGGAGGACCACCGGUGGCGAAGGCGUCUUACUAGAACGAAUCCGACGGUGAGGGACGAAGCCCUAGGUCGCAAACGGGAUUAGAUACCCCGGUAGUCUAGGGUGUAAACGCUGCAGACUUGGUGUUGGAGGCCCUUCGGGGGCAUUCAGUGCCGGAGAGAAGUUGUUAAGUCUGCUACUUGGGGAGUACGUCCGCAAGGAUGAAACUUAAAGGAAUUGGCGGGGGAGCACCGCAACGGGAGGAGCGUGCGGUUUAAUUGGAUUCAACACCGGAAAACUCACCAAGGGAGACCAUCACAUGAAAGCCAGGGCUAAUGACUUU
Molecule: ribosomal RNA, 814 nt
Filed under: uncultured methanogenic archaeon
Lineage: Archaea; Methanobacteriati; Methanobacteriota
Description: bacterial SSU rRNA
Rfam family: Archaeal small subunit ribosomal RNA
Source: RNAcentral